Molecule: RNA transcript, 1434 nt
Organism: Asterias rubens (European starfish)
Lineage: Eukaryota; Metazoa; Echinodermata; Asteroidea; Forcipulatida; Asteriidae
Exons: 7
Source: RefSeq, a predicted model, not a curated record
CUCUUAAUUACAAGCAGUUGGAGGAUAAAGCAGAGGAGGUGCUGUCAAGACUAAGCAUAACUGAUGAACAGGCUGCCGUACUUGAGCAAGCUACACGGAAACAAACCAAAUCGCCGAUUUGGUUCCAGCAGAGAGCAGGAAGGAUAACCGCAUCCAACAUUAAAGCAGCGGCACACACUAGCAUAAACAAACCAUCCGUUUCCCUAAUCAAACGAGUGUGCUACCCAGAUGCUUAUAAGUUUGAAACAUCAGCAACAAGAUGGGGAUGUGAUCAUGAGCGCACUGCAAGGGAAGCAUAUUUUAAAGUCACAGCAUCAAAGCAUUCAUCCUUCUCUAUCAAUGAUGCUGGGUUGUUCAUCAAUCCAGACACACCCUUCAUUGGAGCUACACCAGAUGGCCUUGUGCAUUGUGACUGCUGUGGUGAUGGUGUAUUGGAGGUUAAAUGUCCUUACAGUAAGAAGGAUGUCCCUAUGGAGACUGCUUGUGCUGACCCCUCAUUUUAUUUAUCCACAUCUGACCAAGUAAACAACCAAGGCAAACCAUUCUCCUGGAAAGUAACACAGACUCAGACGAUGACGAGACCCAAAAAGACUUAGAGAUGAGUAAAAAAGAGUCGGAGAGAAAAAAGCGAGAGGCAGAUGAGAGGUUGCGGCUUGAGGAAGAAGAAUUGAAAAAGGAAUCCUUGAGAAGAUGACACUCUGAGAUGUGCAGGAAGAUGUGUGGGGAGGCAGCCUACCUGCAAGGCCUCACUUGAAAUGGCUGCUGAAGAGACACGCGUACAUAAAGUGCCAUAGAAGCUUUACUGAAAUUAGUGAAAUAUGCCAUCAUCCUGCAAUACACACAUGGUCUAAAAGAGAAAUGACAAGACAAGCACAUAAGAAAAUGAGAUGAUGGAAAACCUCUUUAGUUGUUUGUGUUCUGCUCAGAUGUUGCCUAGCGACAAGGGAUGCUCGGUACUUUGAUAACAUCUUCUCCACAUUGGGAGAGAUUGAAAGAGAACAGGUGAUGAGGAGGGUGACUCCAGGAAUGCGGCCCCAUUACAAUGUGAGUAUGAGGCGACCACGGACACAUGUUUAUGCCAGACUGCAACACUGUACUAAUGAAACUCAAUGCAUGCAUCAAGGACAUUCACCAAAGAGCCACUGCAAACAAGAUGAUGCUUAAUGCUGCAAAGCAUUGGUUCUUCAUUUUACAUCAAGAUUUUCACAACAGCCACUUCCAGUCAUUUCCAUCACGGUUGGUGAUGUGAAACCACUCAACGAAAGCCAGAAAUCUCUGUGCAGUCAUGGAUGAACAUCUACAUGUAUCACCGAAGGCCCAUGUCGCUACCCUAUAUGCCGCUCUUAAAUUACUGUCAUCCAAAGAUGUUUUAAAUUUAGAAAAUAAUGAUCCACACAAAUACACCUGGAAAUUGUUUAGUUUUCCUUGGCCGUC